GAUGGCUCACGCCUGUAAUCCCAGCACUUUGGGAGGCCCAGCAUGACAACUGGCAAGAUUCCAAGAGGUGGAAUGGGGGCUCCUUCAGCUUGUGUCCCUGAGAGAGGACAAUGUGGUGAAGCAAUGGAACCUCCAAUGGACAUAUGACGUUAACUGAAUGUGGGAAGGAAUAACAGGAAUGACGUCAUUGUCUACAGGCAACUGAAGGUGCAGAGGGAAAUACAGAGACCACCUUGCCAAUGGCUUGUGAAAACUUAGAUGCUUUUGGAAAGAAGGUGGGUGCUAAAUCCCAGAAGGUGCUCAUGUUAAUGGCUUAAACAAAUUGUGGAUUUAUUCUCCCUCAUAAAAGAAGUCUGGAAGUUGUCGGUCAAGGGUUGAUAACAGUGUUGAUGAUUCACUCAGCUAUCAGCCAAGAAGCUUCCUGCCUCUACUGUAAAUGAAGCCUGAAAUAUCCAAGCUACAUUAUCGCUAACUUGCCUAUGGUGGGACAUCUGUGGUUUUCUCCAUCUGGUUUCUAACUCCUACUGAUACAGAACGGCUAAAUUCCACCCUCAAGCCUGGACCCUCAGCCUUAAGUCAAAACAGCUGACCCUGAUACAGAACGGCUGAGCUCCUGUCUAAACUCCACCCUCAAGCCUGGACCCUCAGCCCUAAUCAAAACAGCUGACCCUGUUGCCUUUGUGGCCCACCCCACCUCCUAUCUUGUGCUUGCCUUUUGGCCCACCCAAUCCCCUAGCCUUUGCCCAUAAAAAGACUUCAGCUGGUGGAGCAAAAAGAGGUAGCUGAUGUAAGUGUUUGGGGAUGCAAGCUGCUGAACAUCAGGGUUACAUGCAGCUGAGCAUCCGAGACUAAGGAUAGACUCGGCUAACUUCAGAUGGUGCGGCUUCAGGAAAAGAUCACUUUCUUCCCAUACCAUCCCUUUACCAAUUCCCCAUCCCGCUGAUAGCCACUUUUAUUGCCCAAUAAAC
Molecule: long non-coding RNA, 968 nt
Organism: Cebus imitator (Panamanian white-faced capuchin)
Lineage: Eukaryota; Metazoa; Chordata; Mammalia; Primates; Cebidae
Exons: 6
Source: RefSeq, a predicted model, not a curated record